GUGGGGAAUAUUGGGCAAUGGGCGAAAGCCUGACCCAGCAACGCCGCGUGAGGGAAGAAGGCUUUCGGGUUGUAAACCUCUGUCGCAGGGGACGAAAGAAAUGACGGUACCCUGUGAGGAAGCCCCGGCUAACUACGUGCCAGCAGCCGCGGUAAUACGUAGGGGGCGAGCGUUGUCCGGAAUUACUGGGCGUAAAGGGUGCGUAGGCGGCGAAUUAAGUUGGAUGUGAAAUCCCCGGGCUUAACCUGGGUGGUGCAUCCAAAACUGAUUAGCUAGAGUGCAGGAGAGGGAAGCGGAAUUCCUAGUGUAGCGGUGAAAUGCGUAGAUAUUAGGAGGAACACCAGUGGCGAAGGCGGCUUUCUGGACUGUAACUGACGCUGAGGCACGAAAGCGUGGGGAGCAAACAGGAUUAGAAACCCCGGUAGUCC
Molecule: ribosomal RNA, 428 nt
Filed under: uncultured bacterium
Lineage: Bacteria
Description: partial 16S ribosomal RNA
Rfam family: Bacterial small subunit ribosomal RNA
Source: RNAcentral